GGGAAUAUUAGAAAUGGACGAACGUCUGAUCUAGCAACACCGCGUGUGCGAAGAAGGCCUUUGGGUCGUAAAGCACUUUUUGGAAGGAAUAGGAAGGAAUGUACUUCCAGAAUAAGCCUCGGCUAACUACGUGCCAGCAGCCGCGGUAACACGUAGGAGGCAAACGUUAUCCGGAUUUACUGGGCGUAAAGCGCGUGUAGGUGGUACUGUAAGUAGGGCGUGAAAGCUCCUGGCUCAACUGGGAGAGGCCGUUCUAAACUACAGAACUAGAGGAUGGUAGAGGGAGGUGGAAUUCCAGGUGCAGCGGUGGAAUGCGCAGAUAUCUGGAGGAACACCGGUGGCGAAGGCGGCCUCCUGGACCAUUCCUGACACUCAGACGCGAAAGCUAGGGUAGCAAACG
RNAcentral lists this ribosomal RNA (400 nucleotides) under uncultured bacterium. Its description in RNAcentral is "bacterial SSU rRNA". It matches the Rfam family "Bacterial small subunit ribosomal RNA", at positions 357 to 774 of the family's 1533-position model. The record is from RNAcentral.